RNAcentral lists this RNase P RNA (353 nucleotides) under Stenotrophomonas maltophilia. RNAcentral's name for it is "bacterial RNase P". It matches the Rfam family "Bacterial RNase P class A". From Rfam's summary of the family: Ribonuclease P (RNase P) is a ubiquitous endoribonuclease, found in archaea, bacteria and eukarya as well as chloroplasts and mitochondria. Its best characterised activity is the generation of mature 5'-ends of tRNAs by cleaving the 5'-leader elements of precursor-tRNAs. The record is from RNAcentral. RNAcentral also lists the same sequence under 2 other names. Lineage: Bacteria; Pseudomonadati; Pseudomonadota; Gammaproteobacteria; Lysobacterales; Lysobacteraceae.
GGAGUCGGCCAGACAGUCGCGUCAUCCUUUCGGGGAUGCCGAGGAAAGUCCGGGCUCCACAGGGCAAGGUGCCAGGUAACGCCUGGGCGGCGCAAGCCGACGGAAAGUGCAACAGAAAGAUACCGCCGAACGGUCCUUCGGGAUGCGUGGUAAGGGUGAAAUGGUGCGGUAAGAGCGCACCGCGAGUCUGGCAACAGACCGGCACGGCAAACCCCACCUGGAGCAAGACCAAAUAGGGACCUAAUGGCGUGGCCCGCGUCGGGUCCGGGUAGGUUGCUUGAGCGUAUCGGUGACGGUGCGCCUAGAGGAAUGACUGUCCACGACAGAACCCGGCUUAUCGGCCGGCUCCGCCA